This 454-nucleotide ribosomal RNA is filed under the name uncultured Rikenellaceae bacterium. Its description in RNAcentral is "partial 16S ribosomal RNA". It matches the Rfam family "Bacterial small subunit ribosomal RNA", at positions 341 to 792 of the family's 1533-position model. The record is from RNAcentral. Lineage: Bacteria; Pseudomonadati; Bacteroidota; Bacteroidia; Bacteroidales; Rikenellaceae.
ACGGAAGGCAGCAGUGAGGAAUAUUGGUCAAUGGACGCAAGUCUGAACCAGCCAUGCCGCGUGCAGGAAUAAGGCCCUAUGGGUCGUAAACUGCUUUUGUGGUGGAGCAAUAAGUCGUACGUGUACGGCGAUGAGAGUACAUCACGAAUAAGCAUCGGCUAACUCCGUGCCAGCAGCCGCGGUAAUACGGAGGAUGCAAGCGUUAUCCGGAUUUAUUGGGUUUAAAGGGUGCGUAGGCUGUGGUCCAAGUCAGGGGUGAAAGCCCGGAGCUCAACUCCGGAACUGCCUUUGAUACUGGAUUGCUGGAAGACGGAUGCCGUGGGAGGAAUGAGUAGUGUAGCGGUGAAAUGCAUAGAUAUUACUCAGAACACCGAUUGCGAAGGCAUCUCACGAAUCCGUCAUUGACGCUGAGGCACGAAAGCGUGGGGAUCAAACAGGAUUAGAUACCCUGGUA